This 252-nucleotide ribosomal RNA is filed under the name uncultured bacterium. Its description in RNAcentral is "partial 16S ribosomal RNA". It matches the Rfam family "Bacterial small subunit ribosomal RNA", at positions 524 to 776 of the family's 1533-position model. The record is from RNAcentral.
UACAGAGGGUGCGAGCGUUAAUCGGAAUUACUGGGCGUAAAGCGUGCGUAGACGGUUAUUUAAGUCGGGUGUGAAGCCCCGGGCUCAACCUGGGAAUUGCAUUCGAGACUGAAUAGCUAGGGUACGGUAGAGGGAAGCGGAAUUUCCGGUGUAGCGGUGAAAUGCGUAGAUAUCGGAAGGAACAUCAGUGGCGAAAGCGGCUUCCUGGACCAGUACCGACGUUCAGGCACGAAAGCGUGGGGAGCAAACAGG